Molecule: ribosomal RNA, 600 nt
Filed under: uncultured bacterium
Lineage: Bacteria
Description: bacterial SSU rRNA
Rfam family: Bacterial small subunit ribosomal RNA
Source: RNAcentral
UACCUGAUUCAGCGGCGGACGGGUGAGUAAUGCCUAGGAAUCUGCCCGAUAGUGGGGGACAACGUUUCGAAAGGAACGCUAAUACCGCAUACGUCCUACGGGAGAAAGUGGGGGAUCUUCGGACCUCACGCUAUCGGAUGAGCCUAGGUCGGAUUAGCUAGUUGGUGAGGUAAUGGCUCACCAAGGCGACGAUCCGUAACUGGUCUGAGAGGAUGAUCAGUCACGCUGGAACUGAGACACGGUCCAGACUCCUACGGGAGGCAGCAGUGGGGAAUAUUGGACAAUGGGCGAAAGCCUGAUCCAGCCAUGCCGCGUGUGUGAAGAAGGUCUUCGGAUUGUAAAGCACUUUAAGUUGGGAGGAAGGGCAGUAAGCUAAUACCUUGCUGUUUUGACGUUACCAACAGAAUAAGCACCGGCUAACUUCGUGCCAGCAGCCGCGGUAAUACGAAGGGUGCAAGCGUUAAUCGGAAUUACUGGGCGUAAAGCGCGCGUAGGUGGUUCAGCAAGUUGGAUGUGAAAUCCCCGGGCUCAACCUGGGAACUGCAUCCAAAACUACUGAGCUAGAGUACGGUAGAGGGUGGUGGAAUUUCCUGUGUAGCG